GAUGAACGCUGGCGGCGUGCCUAAUACAUGCAAGUCGAGCGAACGGACGAGAAGCUUGCUUCUCUGAUGUUAGCGGCGGACGGGUGAGUAACACGUGGAUAACCUACCUAUAAGACUGGGAUAACUUCGGGAAACCGGAGCUAAUACCGGAUAAUAUUUUGAACCGCAUGGUUCAAAAGUGAAAGACGGUCUUGCUGUCACUUAUAGAUGGAUCCGCGCUGCAUUAGCUAGUUGGUAAGGUAACGGCUUACCAAGGCAACGAUGCAUAGCCGACCUGAGAGGGUGAUCGGCCACACUGGAACUGAGACACGGUCCAGACUCCUACGGGAGGCAGCAGUAGGGAAUCUUCCGCAAUGGGCGAAAGCCUGACGGAGCAACGCCGCGUGAGUGAUGAAGGUCUUCGGAUCGUAAAACUCUGUUAUUAGGGAAGAACAUAUGUGUAAGUAACUGUGCACAUCUUGACGGUACCUAAUCAGAAAGCCACGGCUAACUACGUGCCAGCAGCCGCGGUAAUACGUAGGUGGCAAGCGUUAUCCGGAAUUAUUGGGCGUAAAGCGCGCGUAGGCGGUUUUUUAGUCUGAUGUGAAAGCCCACGGGCUCAACCGUGGAGGGCCAUUGGAAACUGGAAAACUUGAGUGCAGAAGAGGAAAGUGGAAUUCCAUGUGUAGCGGUGAAAUGCGCAGAGAUAUGGAGGAACACCAGUGGCGAAGGCGACUUUCUGGUCUGUAACUGACGCUGAUGUGCGGAAGCGUGGGGAUCGAACAGGAUUAGAUACCCUGGUAGUCCACGCCGUAAACGAUGAGUGCUAAGUGUUAGGGGGUUUCCGCCCCUUAGUGCUGCAGCUAACGCAUUAAGCACUCCGCCUGGGGAGUACGACCGCAAGGUUGAAACUCAAAGGAAUUGACGGGGACCCGCACAAGCGGUGGAGCAUGUGGUUUAAUUCGAAGCAACGCGAAGAACCUUACCAAAUCUUGACAUCCUUUGACAACUCUAGAGAUAGAGCCUUCCCCUUCGGGGGACAAAGUGACAGGUGGUGCAUGGUUGUCGUCAGCUCGUGUCGUGAGAUGUUGGGUUAAGUCCCGCAACGAGCGCAACCCUUAAGCUUAGUUGCCAUCAUUAAGUUGGGCACUCUAAGUUGACUGCCGGUGACAAACCGGAGGAAGGUGGGGAUGACGUCAAAUCAUCAUGCCCCUUAUGAUUUGGGCUACACACGUGCUACAAUGGACAAUACAAAGGGCAGCGAAACCGCGAGGUCAAGCAAAUCCCAUAAAGUUGUUCUCAGUUCGGAUUGUAGUCUGCAACUCGACUACAUGAAGCUGGAAUCGCUAGUAAUCGUAGAUCAGCAUGCUACGGUGAAUACGUUCCCGGGUCU
Molecule: ribosomal RNA, 1372 nt
Filed under: uncultured bacterium
Lineage: Bacteria
Description: bacterial SSU rRNA
Rfam family: Bacterial small subunit ribosomal RNA
Source: RNAcentral